Long non-coding RNA from Rhipicephalus microplus (southern cattle tick), 420 nucleotides. The record is from RefSeq and is a predicted model, not a curated record. Lineage: Eukaryota; Metazoa; Arthropoda; Arachnida; Ixodida; Ixodidae.
CCUAGUCUCUCGUAAACUAAGGCAAGGAAGGAUUGUGCCAGAGCAAGUGUUUGAAGAAAGCUGCCAAGGCACUCGCCUCAAGAAGUCAACGCUCCAGGAUACAAAACAAAUAUGCCACCACUCAAAAUUGCUGAAGAAACCUGGAAAAGGCAAGAUAUUAGGGAAAAGACGCAGGGAGGAUUUGGACUCUGGGACUGAUGAAGAAGAUGAACUAGUGCCUUGCAGGCGGUUCCAGGAAGCAAAGGGCAAGAUUGCAGAGCUUGAAGGAAGACUGCGAGUUUCGAGGGAGCGGUUACACAAACAGCGGCAGCGAGACAUCAAACUACAUAUUCUUCUUGAUUAUAAAAUGGAUUCAAUGGAGGCCUCGAUCAUUGCACUAAUAAAGUUGGAACUGCAUGGUACACGGCCUGCUUCACAGGU